This 252-nucleotide ribosomal RNA is filed under the name uncultured bacterium. RNAcentral describes it as "partial 16S ribosomal RNA". It matches the Rfam family "Bacterial small subunit ribosomal RNA", at positions 524 to 776 of the family's 1533-position model. The record is from RNAcentral.
UACGUAGGGAGCGAGCGUUAUCCGGAUUUAUUGGGUGUAAAGCGUGUGUAGGCGGUUUCUUAAGUCAGUAGUCUAAGCCUGGAGCUUAACUCCAGUUCGCUACUGAAACUGAGUUACUUGAGUAUGGUAGAGGCAAGUGGAAUUUCUAGUGUAGCGGUGGAAUGCGUAGAUAUUAGAAGGAACACCAGUGGCGAAGGCGGCUUGCUGGGCCAUCACUGACGCUGAGACACGAAAGCGUGGGGAGCAAAUAGG